CCUACGGGGGGCAGCAGUGGGGAAUAUUGGGCAAUGGACGAAACUCUGACCCAGCAACGCCGCGUGAAUGAUGAAGGUCUUCGGAUUGUAAAGUUUUUUUCUAAGGGAAGAAGAAAGUGACGGUACCUUAGGAAUAAGCCUCGGCUAACUACGUGCCAGCAGCCGCGGUAAUACGUAGGCGGCAAGCGUUAUCCGGAAUGACUGGGCGUAGAGGGUGCGUAGGUGGUUUGAUAAGUUGGUAGCGUAACUCCGGGGCUCAACCUCGGCACUGCUUCCAAUACUGUCGGACUUGAGUGCAGGAGGGGCAAAUGGAAUUCCUGGUGUAGCGGUGGAAUGCGUAGAUAUCAGGAGGAACACCAGUGGCGAAGGCGAGUUGCUGGACUGUAACUGACGCUGAGGAACGAAAGCGUGGGGAGCAAACAGGAUUAGAUACCCGGGUAGUC
This 443-nucleotide ribosomal RNA is filed under the name uncultured bacterium. RNAcentral describes it as "partial 16S ribosomal RNA". It matches the Rfam family "Bacterial small subunit ribosomal RNA", at positions 338 to 795 of the family's 1533-position model. The record is from RNAcentral.